CCUACGGGUGGCUGCAGUGGGGAAUAUUGGACAAUGGGCGGAAGCCUGAUCCAGCAAUACCGCGUGUGUGAAGAAGGCCUGAGGGUUGUAAAGCACUUUCAAUAGGAAGGAAUACCUAUCCAUUAAUACUGGGUAGACUGACAUUACCUAUACAAGAAGCACCGGCUAACUCCGUGCCAGCAGCCGCGGUAAUACGGCGGGUGCAAGCGUUAAUCGGAAUUACUGGGAGUAAAGUGGGCGAGUGCGAUUCGAAAGCCCCGGGCUUAACCUGGGAAUGGCAUUUGAUACUGGCGAGCUAGAGUUGAGUAGAGGGGAGUGGAAUUUCAGGUGUAGCGGUGAAAUGCGUAGAGAUCUGAAGGAACACCAGUGGCGAAGGCGACUCCCUGGACUCAAACUGACGCUGAGGUACGAAAGCGUGGGUAGCAAACAGGAUUAGAUACCCUAGUAGUC
This 450-nucleotide ribosomal RNA is filed under the name uncultured bacterium. RNAcentral describes it as "partial 16S ribosomal RNA". It matches the Rfam family "Bacterial small subunit ribosomal RNA", at positions 338 to 795 of the family's 1533-position model. The record is from RNAcentral.